AUGAUGAGCGAGAACAAGAACCUAGUUCUAUUUGCCACCAAACGUGAGGUAAGGGAAGUGUGUGAGAACCCAUCUAGUGUCCUACACUACGUCCUCAUGUGCAAGGAAAAUGCACCACAAACUAACACUUCUCACACUCUUCCUCUAGUGUUGUCUUCUCUUUUGCAGGAAUUUCAAGAUGUUUUCCCCGAUGAGCUACCUCCGGGUCUACCUCCUCUACGAGGCAUUGAGCACCGAAUCGACCUCAUCCCCGGAGCACCUCUUCCGAACAAAGCUCCAUACCGUGUUGUAAGGGCAUAUUUAUCCCUAAGGUGUUUUGGUGAUUGA
This 327-nucleotide ribosomal RNA is filed under the name Triticum aestivum (bread wheat). Its description in RNAcentral is "partial small subunit ribosomal RNA". The record is from RNAcentral. Lineage: Eukaryota; Viridiplantae; Streptophyta; Magnoliopsida; Poales; Poaceae.